Molecule: ribosomal RNA, 587 nt
Filed under: Ammodytes personatus (Pacific sandeel)
Lineage: Eukaryota; Metazoa; Chordata; Actinopteri; Uranoscopiformes; Ammodytidae
Description: partial 16S ribosomal RNA
Rfam family: Bacterial large subunit ribosomal RNA
Source: RNAcentral
AAAACAUCGCCUCUUGCAAAGUAAUGAAUAAGAGGUCCCGCCUGCCCUGUGACUCUAAGUUUAACGGCCGCGGUAUUUUGACCGUGCGAAGGUAGCGCAAUCACUUGUCUUUUAAAUGGAGACCUGUAUGAAUGGCAUAACGAGGGCUUAGCUGUCUCCUUUCUCUAGUCAAUGAAAUUGAUCUCCCCGUGCAGAAGCGGGGAUAGAACCAUAAGACGAGAAGACCCUAUGGAGCUUUAGACGCCAAGACAGACCAUGUUAAACACCUCCCCAUAAGGAGCCCAAACCAAAUGGUCCCUGCCCUAGUGUCUUUGGUUGGGGCGACCGCGGGGAAGCAUAAAACCCCCAUGUGGAAUGGGAGCACCCUCUCCUACAACUAAGAGCUACAGCUCUAAUGAACAGAAUUUCUGACCAACAAGAUCCGGCAAUGCCGAUCAACGGACCGAGUUACCCUAGGGAUAACAGCGCAAUCCCCUUUUAGAGCCCAUAUCGACAAGGGGGUUUACGACCUCGAUGUUGGAUCAGGACAUCCUAAUGGUGCAGCCGCUAUUAAGGGUUCGUUUGUUCAACGAUUAAAGUCCUACGUG